UUUCCGUAGGUGAACCUGCGGAAGGAUCAUUACUGAGUGAGGGCCCUCUGGGUCCAACCUCCCACCCGUGUUAAUUGUACCUUGUUGCUUCGGUGCGCCCGCCUCACGGCCGCCGGGGGGCUUCUGCCCCCGGGUCCGCGCGCACCGGAGACACCAUUGAACUCUGUCUGAAGAUUGCAGUCUGAGCAUAAACUAAAUAAGUUAAAACUUUCAACAACGGAUCUCUUGGUUCCG
Molecule: unclassified non-coding RNA, 234 nt
Filed under: plant metagenome
Description: partial contains small subunit ribosomal RNA, internal transcribed spacer 1, and 5.8S ribosomal RNA
Source: RNAcentral